This 556-nucleotide ribosomal RNA is filed under the name Pichia manshurica. RNAcentral describes it as "eukaryotic LSU rRNA". It matches the Rfam family "Eukaryotic large subunit ribosomal RNA", at positions 103 to 684 of the family's 3401-position model. Lineage: Eukaryota; Fungi; Ascomycota; Pichiomycetes; Pichiales; Pichiaceae. The record is from RNAcentral.
AAGAGCUCAGAUUUGAAAUCGUGUUUCGGCACGAGUUGUAGAGUGUAGGCGGGAGUCUCUGUGGAGCGCGGUGUCCAAGUCCCUUGGAACAGGGUGCCUGAGAGGGUGAGAGCCCCGUAGGGUGCUGCGCGAAGCUUUUGAGGCCCUGCUGACGAGUCGAGUUGUUUGGGAAUGCAGCUCCAAGCGGGUGGUAAAUUCCAUCUAAGGCUAAAUAUUGGCGAGAGACCGAUAGCGAACAAGUACUGUGAAGGAAAGAUGAAAAGCACUUUGAAAAGAGAGUGAAACAGCACGUGAAAUUGUUGAAAGGGAAGGGUAUUGGGCUCGACAUGGGGGGUGCGCACCGCUGUCUCUUGUAGGCGGCGCUCUGGGCGCCCUCUGGGCCAGCAUCGGUUCCUGCUGCGGGAGAAGGGGCUCCGGAAAGUGGCUCUUCGGAGUGUUAUAGCCGGGGCCAGAUGCCGCGUGUGGGGACCGAGGACUGCGGCUUCUGUCUCGGAUGCUGGCAUAACGGCGCAAUACCGCCCGUCUUGAAACACGGACCAAGUGAGACAGACAGUUC